GUUGGCGACCAAAGCGGAGAGGCUAUACCCAAACCCAUCCCGAACUUGGAAGUCAAGCUCUCCAGCGAUUUGCCAAGUACUGAUGUAUCGGGAACGGUAAGACGUUGCUGACC
Molecule: ribosomal RNA, 113 nt
Filed under: Candidatus Aenigmatarchaeota archaeon
Lineage: Archaea; Nanobdellati; Candidatus Aenigmatarchaeota
Source: RNAcentral